Molecule: long non-coding RNA, 15428 nt
Filed under: Setaria viridis
Lineage: Eukaryota; Viridiplantae; Streptophyta; Magnoliopsida; Poales; Poaceae
Description: long non-coding RNA (SVIR_LNC003880)
Source: RNAcentral
UUAGACCACCACCCUUGGCUUGGAUUUGCUUUGCUUUCUCCCCUCGCACCGGGGAACGCGGCCGCCGAUCCGCUCCCGAUCCCCUCCCCCUUCCCGCCGCCCGAUCCCACCAAAUCCGCUCCCGCGCUGCCCCCCGAUUCGAUUACCUAGCUCGAUUGGCCCCUCCCGAUCAGCCGCGGCACAGGCUGUUUCUUGUUUGAUUAGAUCCCCGUGCGGAGCUGUGGAUCCCCAAUUGAGCAGCCGCGUGCGGGCGGGAGGAUUGCGCUAGGGUUUCGGCGGGCGCGGGCGCGGUCUCCGUGUGGGCGGGCGGGCGGGUAGGGUUUUGCCAUGGCGGAGAAGGGCUGCCUCAAGCGGCUCCAGAAGGAGUACCACGCGCUCUGCAAGGUGAGCUCCGGUUGGAUUGGGGGUCGAUUGGCUGGGAUGGGUCCGAUUGGGCUGUGCCGUGGCUCGAUUUCUGACGGGUUUUGGUUUCGCUGGGUUGCAGGAGCCGCCGCCGCAGAUCGUGGCUCGCCCGCUUCCCAACGACAUAUUGGAGUGGCGUAAGUAGCCUCCCCUGACCCUACCAGUAGAUUUGGGGCCUUUUUCGGUCGUUAAUGUUCGGAGUGAACUGGCUGUUAUUACACUUUAUGUUGUCGGAAGCGGUGGUGUAUGUGAAACGCAUAUCACUUACGGUUCAUGUUGUGGUAGCAAGCACUUUUUGAGCUUGGUUUUGUCGGAAGCGAUGGUGUAGUCGGAAAGCAUGUCGCAUACGGGUUCAUGUUGUGGUAGCAAUCAGUUUUUGGAUGUUUCUGUAUACAUGGGAUUGCUCUGCGCAUUGCAUGACAUACUCGUAGCAAUUUAUGGUUAAAAGUUUGAAUCAUGGGAUGUGAGCCUUAGUUCUGCGUAGUGUGUUGAACAGAGUAUGAGCAUAUGAUAAGCGGUAGUUCCUGUCAGGAUUGAUUUGUUUUGCUGAUUCCCUGAAAAUCAGUUGAUACGCUCAACCUUCUUUAAGCUCGUAGUAGGAGAGGCAGGCUAAGGUCUUUGCCCAUAGGGUGCUAGCCUACUGCUUGGCAUCUAGUUAAGCUCUAGAAUUUAGAACAUUGCUUUACCGCUUACUGUUAACUUAUAUGGACUAGCUCUUGACAUUACUGCACAUUAGCAAGAUUCAAAUGUUCCUACUGGUUGUAAGGGUUGGUCAUUUUGCGUGUGACUUAAAUGCUCUGCAAAUAGGGAACAGUUAUGUGAUUGAUCUUUGCUUUGUUUUGCCCAAGGGCAUGCGCAUAGAGUUUGUCACCUGGCAUGCUGGAUGUCCAAUACAUAUUUUUGAUGCAUUUGCUAGAUAUUUGUUUAACAAUCAUUGGAAUAUCUGAUUUAGCUGCGCCAUUGUCUCGUCUCUUCAUGGAAAUAUUGCUUGUUCUGCUUAUGGUACAUGGCUCUGGACCCCCAUAUGUUUGUUUAUAUUUAUAUAUUGGUCAGCGUCAGGAUUUGCAUUGACAUAACUGCAAUUAUCUAGUGAAAUAGUAAUGGCCAGCGCUAUACAUGCUGAAAAAGGUUCCUGCUAAUUAUGUGCACCAACCUGUCAAAUAGUAAUAGAUGAGAUAUGUUCUUGGUUAAAUUUACUAAUGACUAGUUGAGCACCAUUGACAACUCAUAGAUUACAACUGCUGAUGCUUAUGUGCAGUUUUUAGUAUAGUCCAAAUCCAUAUGGUGCCUCAGAUUGUAUUUAUCAUGCUUGUUCCUAAUGCAACGCCAAUCUUUUUGCUUACUUUCAAGGCUGUAUAUUGGUACCAACUUAUGUGCUUUCUUUACUUUGUAUGCCAGACUACGUUCUUGAAGGAAGUAAAGGCACACCCUUUGAAGGUAGAGAUCAUGCAAUACUGUACAGCAUUUUCUUUAUAUUAUCUACUUUAUCCGAUAUUUGUUUCAUUACUUAAUCUCUAACGAUGUUUUCAUGUUCCAAUUUUUCCCUUGCAGGUGGAUAUUACUAUGGGAAACUUAAAUUUCCACCAGAUUAUCCUUUUAAACCUCCAAGUAUCAGGUGCAGAAACAUUUAAUGAAUUGUGUUUUAAUGACAUGGUGCUUCUUAUUAGGGUGUGAGGGAAAACUGUAGCUAGAAACUUUUAUAGAUAUAUAAUUAAUGCAAAUGUUAAUUAUUCUGUUUUUGUUUCUAACUCAUUUCAUUGUGCAGCAUGACAACCCCUAGCGGUAGGUUUGCGCCACACAAAAGAAUAUGCCUGUCAAUGAGUGACUGUAAGUUCUGAACUGUUUCUGGAUUACAGUUGCUUUUGCAUCACAUUAGGUAUGAAAUAAUGCUCAUUAUUACUAUGCUUUGCAGUUCAUCCUGAGUCUUGGAAUCCAAUGUGGUCUGUAGCAAGGUACGCACAUACUGAUAACUAGCUUUUUAGCUUUUUACACGUGUGAUGCGUUUUUGGAACCCAGAGCAUGCUUUUCAUGUUUCAGCUACUGUACAGUGUACAAACUCUUUAAUAACUGCUAUUCAAAUGUGCUCUGUGGUAGUCUGUAAUUAUUUCAACUUCUUUUUGCCAUGAGAUGGGGGAACUUGAAAUGGUAAAUCGAGGUUUAGUUCUGCUGUCCCAGAUCACUUUUCACUAUGAGUCAUCUAUGUUUUCAGUUCAAACUGUUUGCAUUUUCUUUCCUUUGUUGAUCUGACAUGUAAAACUUUGUGCUGCAGCAUUCUUACUGGGCUCCUGUCAUUCAUGGUAAGUUGUUCCUUGCACGCCAUUAUGGGUUAGCCUUACCAAAAAAGAAUAUCUAAUUUCAAUCAGAAUUUCUAGCGCACAUAGAGAUCUUGCCAUGUUAUAAGGUUACUUGUUGAUCAGGGCUAGCAAUUUAAUGGUAACUGCCCAACAUUAUUGCAAAUGAUGCUUGGCAUUUCUCUUGCAAGAACUCCCUUGGUUUAAGGUUUUAUUUCUCAAUAUCGAUAAUUCUUGUAAUUUCAGAUGGAUGAUGCUCUGACAACUGGAAGCAUCAAGACUUCAGAUGCAGAAAAGAGGCGCUUAGCAAAAGCUUCCCUUGCAUACAAUUGCGAGAGGUAGAUUAAUUUAUUUAAAUGCUAAUUCAUUCUGAUCGUGCUCUUUUUGUAGAACUGAAAGUAUUUUUUACAAACUACCCCUUUAGAAACAGGGCUGAACAGAUCCUGUAGGAAAUUUACUUUUACAUGAAAGUAACGACUUAAUUUGGUCAGGAUGCUGUGUUUUCCAAGUGCAAGGAACUCACAUUGACUGUUAGGUUCCUUAUUAAAUUGUUAAACUAUCACGCCACUUGUAUAUCUAACUUUUAGAUACUGGCAUUCAUUUGCUCAUAAGUACUAUUUGUCCUAUUCAUAUAAGUGCUUCUCUUUGCAGCAAAAACUGCCCACACUUCAGGAAGCUGUUCCCAGAGUACGUUGAGAAGUACAACCAACAGCAACAAUUGGAGAAUACAGCUGCAGAAUCGGAGCCCCGGGAGAAUCCUGCUGCACCUGCUCCAUCUCCUGCAGUCCAGCAAGCUCCAGUUGUUGCCAAUAGAGCACAGCCAGUGGCAGAGGCGCACCGCGAGAAGAACCAGAAGAAGGCAGUGCCCUUCUGGAUGGUGCUGGUCAUGUUUUCAGUUUUUGGUGCCGUGAUGGCCUUGCCCCUAAUGCAACUUUGACAAUAAUAAAGGACUAUGAGAAAAGUGUGAUACCGGGGCAUAAUUUUGUAUAGUUUUCCAUUGGUUUGUGUGACUCAAUUGUCCUCUUGGAGUCAUGUUGGUGAACAUGUGAUGGUAAAUCUGUAGAACCGUAUUCUCACUCUUGACAAGCAGCAUCAGAAGGUCGCUCAUUUUCAUUCUUCUGUUUAUUUUCUUCCUUUUCUUGCGUCCUCACUAGCUGGUCGUGCUAACUUAAAAUAAGUCAUUGUCUCGUCCUAAAUUUGCAUUAUUUGCUCUGGAUCUGCAAUUUUGUAUUUGUUCCAAGCCAAACUUUCUUACUUUUUGAGUUUACAAGAGACACCAACAUUUACAACAUAAAAUUAGCUUCAUUUGUUUUAUUAUUAAAUCCACCAUAAAACGUGUGUUGAUACUGUAUUUAUUUGGCACUGAAUUAUAAUUUGAAAUGAAUGAAGUAAUUUGUAUGCGCCACCGCGGGUUGUUGUGGCGUCGCACGACCUUUUUCGGUGAGCGAUUCCUGUCCUAGAUUAUUUCACUAAUGCAUUCACCAUGUGGUCUAAUUUGAAGCUAGAUAGCUUCUCACUAACACCAUGACAAAUUUCAACAAACAUCAUUAAUGGGACCAGCACAGCAAAGCGACCUAAAGCUAUGUUUCCAACCACAACCCAGAGUCAGGUUGGACGCCACAAUUGAAGUAACGUUUCAUCAAGGUUAUAAAAGAACGUUUCAUCAUUCAACAUAAAGGAAUGAGACUUCAUCGACAUUGCACCUACUACCUUCAAUGCAUUCAAUCUAGACAGCAUGGGGAUGGUUCAUUAUUAGCAUCUCAAUUCAUCUUAGCCAUAUGGCAAUGUCAAUAUAUACAUUCUACACCCAGCUUAGGGCAAAAGGAUGGAAGAACCCGAUCUUUGCCAACAGAAGCGUCUAUGCUUUGCUUGACCCAGGGCAAUGCUAAACUGGUUUGCCUCAACCAGCAUGUGGCGAUGAAACAAUGUUCACUCGCCAGUCCCUUACUAAAGAUAAGAAAUGUCCUAGUUUGCGCUGACAUCUUUGAGUAUCGGAAAUAAAGUUGUAUUCACCCCUAACAUGUUUCUUCAUAAAUCAAGCAAUAGGAAGCACUUGUUGAUCUCAAACAGUGCUUCUCACACCAGAAAAGAAUGUCAGCUCUCAGUUACUACCCAAGAAAGAAGUUUCUCCUCCACUUCUUCCCAGUUGUGGACCUUGGUCACCAGCGGAUGCGACUCGUCAACUCCAGUUUUGCACCAAGGGUAUGAGUUAUCAUAAUCGAAGAGCAGCACCCUCAUGCCAUCAUUAGCACACUCCAUAGCAUAUCUUGGGUUGUCAUCUAUUAAAACCUGAGCGCCAAAAGAUCUGCAAGGAGGAAUUGCCAUAGCAAACAAGUUAAGUCUUAUGAGCAGAAACAACUAAAUGGUUUAACAGUUCUGAUCAGACAAGAUAUGCAAAAUACUGUUGAGGCAUGCUGCCUCAAAAAUAAUCUAAACAGAAAUGCAAAAAGGGGCAAGCCUGCCACAGUUCUAAUCAUUGCUGUUCUUUUAGUGUAUGUGGAGCCGGAUUACAAUGCUACUACAGUCUCUAACAUGAUUGAGAAAACUAUCCUCCCUCAGUGAGCCAGUGUUUUACCUGCAAAUCUCUGAUUUUGGUCUUGACUGACCCUCCAAAGCGAAAUGAUUACCGAAAUGUAUCUGCUCAAAUAAGCCUGGAUAAUACCUCUCGAUCCAAUCUAACGUGUGACUCUUAAUUGCAUCCUGCCGAGAUCUUUUCAGAGAAGGACACCAUUAGGUAAACUCAUAUAAGGCAAGGCAAAUUGAACGUAUCUCUCAAAUCUUAUGAAGGACUUACGUUACUACUGACAAGCUACAGAAAGAAGAAAGGUUUUGGAGAGCAUCUCGAGCCCCAGGGAUGGGUUGUAUACCAUCUUGGAAGUAAUGAGUUGUGAAGAACUCAUGGACAAGAAAAUUAGCUGCAGUGUUCAGAGCAGUGCUUGAUUUCAUAUGGUGAAUUGUAUAGUUAAAACGACAAUAGAUGUAAUUCAAAAUGAAAUAAAGGUAAAUAGCAUCAGGAUAUACCUCUUUCUCGAGAACAGUUCCAUAUCUGGAUAGAUUGAAAAAAAAUAUAUUAGAACUCCCUGGUGGAGAAAACUGAAAUGGAAAUACGACUAACUAAUGGAUUUGAAUAUCUUUUACGGAAGGUCGGAGUGCAUACUAUUACUCACCCUAAAGAACUCGUACACAUGGUAUUCAGAUACUGUGUGAUUCCAAGAAUAACGAUCAGCGAUAAAUUUGUUCAGUGCUGCAAGAAAGCUUCCAAGAACUGCAACAAGAUACAGCAAACAAAGUGGUAAGGAAGGAUCAAUUAUAAGAAAAACACAAGUGACGUUACUCCCUUGACCUGUACAAGACAAGGCAUGAGGGGACAAUAUUGUGAUAUUAUAAGUUGUGGUCAUGACUACAUGUAUGUUUUGGGCAAGAUUGUUCAGUUCAUUAUUUGGUUCUAGACUAACCACCACAUUGGCAACAACUCAAACAGGAACCAGUAAUGCAACCAGCAGGGAUAAUCAGCUACCCAAAAGUGAGGUUUCAGAGAUGAGCAGACUUGCACUUGAGAUAGAUUUCACAGUACCUUCAUCCACAUCAACAGCAACCACCAUCUUAGCCGCCACAGCCUGCUCCGGGAACCCCAGCGGCUUCCCUCGCCGGCACGCGCCGUUCCCGCUCAGGGUCUUCGCGCUGGCGGCCGCCUCCUCCAGCGGCAGGACCUCCGGAUCGCGCAUCAGCUGCCGCUGCCUGGUGAGCACCUGCGCCUUGAACCCCGCCGCCUCCCCGUCGACCCUCCUCUUGAACCCGCCGCCGCCGCUGCCGCCGUCCUGCCACCCCAGGCACCCCUUCAAGCUGAGCGCGCCGCUCGGCGCAAACCUCCGCCCGCCCGCUAGAUUAAGGAACCCCAUCUUCCCCAGCGGCGUCGCGCGACCCUCGUUGUGCGCAACGGAAUGGCUGCACCUGCAGAGGCAGGCGCGGUUGACGGCGGCCGGCGGCAUGGCGGGGCUAGGGUUCUGCUUCCACCCCCGAGGUGGUGGCCGGAGACGAUCCAACAGCGACCGCACGGCUCCGCGGCUUAGCAUGUCGCCACCAGCAUUCCUUCCCCCGGCCAGCCCAAGAAACCUGCACGCCUCGCAUUCGGCAAAUCAGAUUCCGUCACAGCCCAACCGAGAAAAAGGAGGAGAAAAGAAACAAAGCCAGAUGCAAUCGCCGGCGGAAUCGCUUGCCUGAACACGCGAGAUCAGGAUUCAGGGAUGAGGACGAAUCGAAACCCCCGGCGCGAGGUCGGCGCCUCGGUCCCUCCCUCUCCUCAGUCCUCACACCGUUCCUGUGAUCUGGGGCAUCUCUUUCAAGCGAGAUCGCGGCGAGGGAAAAGCCUGGGGAAAUUUCGUGUGGAAAAUCUCGGGGUAUAUGCGGAAAGGAGAUGGCAAAGCGGAUUUCUUGGUUGCCUCUAGUAUUUUUGUCCCUUUUUCUCGUUCUUCGCUUUUAGUAUUUCUCUAGGGUUUGGGAAUUGGUGUGCGAUUUUUUGUGUACGUGGAGUGACGGUGGUGGUGGGCCGCCUCUUUUUCGGGAAAGGGAGCGGCGCUCAUCAUAGGGGUUGUGGCUUUUUCGAAGAAGUCCACACCGUUGCAAGUAUUUAGAGUCUAAGGCCCUGUUUGGCAUGGCUCCAACUUCGGGUGGAGCUGCUCCACUCCAGAACUCCAAGUGGAGCCAGCUCCACUCUAGAACUCCAUAAAUAAAAUGGGGUGUUUGCCUAGAUGGGUGCUCUCAGCUCCAAAAAAGACCGAUUUCAGUGUGAAUUGCCAUUGUUACCCUCCAAUUCAGGCCCCACUUGUCAUCCUUGCUAUCCCAUCUCUUCUUCUUCCCCUAGAUAGUUUUCGCACCGGAUAGUUUUCGCACUACGCGUAUCUGGGAAGAUACCGGAGCAUACUGGAGCUUCCCGAUGGGGAAGAUGCUGCGGAUGUCGGCGGGCGCGGACCGCACGCCGAGGAACGCGUCGUUAGUGAGGCCGCCCCCGGCCGGCGGCGUGACGAGCACCUGCUGCAGGAUCUUGGCCCCCAGAGCCACCAGGCUCCCGUCCUGGACCGCGAUCCCGGCUAACACGGGCUGGAGAGCAGCAUGCCUUCGCGGGAGGUGGUGACGGCGUCGCCGGGCCUCGCGAUGGAGAUGGGUGGCGUGGGCGCCACGGCGUCGACCCCAGUGACACCGCUGGGGAGGACCACGCGUCCGCCGACGAGGACAACCGAUUCCUCCGGGCCGCAGAACUCCUCCGCGACGUCGACCCAAUCGUCGUCCGGUGGACCUCUCCGAUGCGCCCGACGACCGGUGGGUGCCGACGCCGCCCUAAGCUCGCGACGCUCUCCUGGGCACCCACCCGCUGCGGCCGUCGGCGGGGCGCCGCGGCCGGCGCAGGGGGCUGGUGGUGGGGCGCGGCGGCCACCGGCGGGCGUCAGCGGUGGGGCAAGACGGCCGGCCUCGGGCUUCGGCGGCAGGGUGAGACGGCCGGGCGAGACGGCCGGCGACGGGCUUCGGCGGCGGGGCUUCGACGGCGGGGAACUCCUGCGGCGGCGGGCUUCGGGGGCGGGACGCUGCAGCCGGCGGCGCCCUUCGGCGACCGGCGCGACGACCAGCGACGGGGCGCGUCCAUAUGCGGCAGGAGGCGGAGGUAAGGCGACCGGGCGGGGCUAAAGUGGCUGGCGGCGGGGCUCGGCUGGCCUGCGGCGGGGCCGGACGGCGGGUCUCCGGCCGCCAGCAGGGCCUACGGCGGCGGCGCAGGGGCGGUCGGCGCAACCUAGGCGCGGCCGGGCGUGAGUACUCGAGAAUGAAGAAGGAACAGAGGCGCGAGGCAAGAAAGAAUGAAACGUUAUCUUGUGUAAUCAGUGGCAGUGGUGGGUAAUUACCCACCAACUCCACGAGGAGGUUCAAAAGAGGACGUUUUGGAGCAGCAAAGGGGGUGCUCCAAAACUCCAGCCCCAAUUGCACUACAGCUCCAUGGAGUUGGCAGCUCCAUGGAGUUUUGGAGUUGACGUGUUUGGCUAGAUUUUUUGCUGGAGUCGCUGGAGUUACGGAGUGGAGCCGUGCCAAACACCCCCUAAGUAUUUAGGUCUGUUUGGUUUUUUUUUACGAAGUGGUUGGGUUGCGACCCACUUAUAUGGGCUGAAGUAAACCCAUCUCAUGUUUGGAUGAGUGGGUUGGAGCCGAUCCAGUCUUUUGUAUGGUUGAGAAGAUUGAGAGGGUUGGGAUGGAUGUCCUUUUAACAUCGUUAAUUGUGGACCCCACCUAUCAUCUGCGGGGCCACAUGUCAUCCUCUUCUAUUUUUUUUUCCUCCGUUGCAUCUUCUUCCUCCCGACUUCUUCCAGCAAGACCCUCCUCCUCCCGGCUCCUCCCUGCCAGUGCACCGGGCCCUGCCGGCGGAUCCUCCCCGGCCGCUGCUGCGCCGGCCCCUUGUGGCGGAUCCACCUCGGAUUAGCUUGAUUAAACAUGGUUAAGUCGCCUAACAUGUGACACCCAUGCCUUAGCCAAGUUAACACGAAGUGCCGUCGGAUUUCAUCCGAUUUAACCACUUAAACAGGACCGAGUUAGCAAACUCACACGAAGGUGAGUGGUUCCAGAGAAUACAACAAGUCCACUGAGUUAAACAACUUAGCCAUUUAGUUCGGCCAUAAAACCAACAUCAGAGUUUUACAAGGUUCAAAAGAAAACAACCGAAGGUAAAACAGCAAGCGAAAGCUACUUCAUCGGGGUCGGACAUCUCUGGUGAGGCCAGCCAGGACGUCAGUGAUCCCUCUCCUCGCCGUCCGAGGAGGGAUCCCACUCAACCGUCCAACCCGGAGGGAGUUGGGGCGGCCAAGUGCCAACAGAAGAAGACUCGGGAGCAGCAACUUCACCUGAAAAGAAAAAAGCCACAACAAGGCUGAGCUACUAAGCUCAACAAGACUCACCCGACAGGAGUAAAGCUACUCCACCUUUCUAGACAUGCAAGGCUCUUGGGCUGAGGGGGUUUGUUUGCCAAAAGCAUUAUGUAGAUUCCUAUUUUGAAGUUUUAGCUCAGGUUCUAAGUUCAUUAUCCGGUCUAGGUUAGCAACUUACUCUAAGCAAACAUAGAACCAAACAGAGGGUAUAUAACAUCAUCAAGACCAAGUUAUCAUCAGAUUUCAUCAUUACUCAGGGUAGCAUAGCGAUCAAGCAGUCUCAAACUGUGAGAGGCAGACGAAUCGAUUCGAGUUCUUUAACCAUGCAUGAUGAACCUAACCUCACGACAUCCGCGCACCAUCGAGGGUCGCUUCCUGUGUCGGCCUUCCCCAUCAAUUCCCUAACCCGUGUCGGGCCCAUUUCCUUUGGUGCAAGGUUCCACAGACCCGGCCUCUGCCGUUCUGUGACCACACUUGCCACCACGUGCGACAGCUAGCAGGGGAAACUCCGUUCCAAGGACAAUGGGGCGACCGCUCACGUCUAGGUUCAAUCCGGUACUCGGCUUCCUCAUCCCAUAAUAAGUAUGAGGUUAGUACUUUCAAACACUUGAUCACGAACACCACCACUGUCGGGCCUUAGCAAGUUUUAUAGACAGACGGGGCGAUCAACCGUCCACCAAAAAGUUAACCAAAACCCUGCCCCGUCCAUCGUUCUUAUAGUUGUGACAGGAGGAAGACAACCAAAUCCUACAACUCGCGAGUGACAGGAAAUCACUCGACUUUUACCGCUUCCUAUUUACGCAAAGCAGCUACUCGGUCCAACAGCUAGUGUUCAGAUCAUGGGAUCUAGUUAUAUAUCUAGGGUUGCAAACAACUCCUAUACGUAAAUGCACGAACAAGAUGCAGAAGGCAUGCGCAAGUUUUGGGAACAUAGGGGUUUCAUGCAUCCGGGGCUUGCCUUCGAGCAAAGAGGAAGGGAACUGCUCGACUUCUGGGGCAGCUUCGGCUUCUGGGGGCAGGAGCUCAGCUACACUGUCGUCUUCUGGCGCCGGGUGCAGCUCGUAGUAGCCGUCGGCGAGACGCAGCUCUACACGAAUGCAAUGCAUUAGUUAGCGUAGACGGUUAUUUCAACAGCAAUACUUGCAAGUCUGAGCCCAGAAACUUGCGACAAGUUAUAGGAGGGUGGGGAGGUUCAAUGGAGUUGAGGGAGGUCAAGAGGUAAGGGUCGGAGGAAAGGAACUUAUGAUCUGACCCUUAAUCUAGAGGAUUUGGUAUGCUAGGGGUCCUCAGACUCAACGCUGACAGGUCUCCAAGUUUUACACAUACACCCUCGGUUCAAAGAAAAAGAUACAGCCGAGCCCUCGGGCGAGGCGGAAAAGGGUCGGCGGAACAGAUAGGGUCGGGCGAGACGGAACCGGGGUUGGGCGGAUAAGAGGGGUCGGGCGAAGCGAACAAGGGUUGGUAGCCUACCUUCGUCUUACAGAGAAGGCUUGGGCGAAAGGACUAAGGGGCUUGGGACAGCGGCGAGGAUGUCCGGCGGUGCUUCUUGUGGAUCACAAGCAAACUCUUGGGCAGCACUGAAAGCAGGGGCUGGUGGAUUGGGGAAAGGUGGUGUUUGAGCGGAGAGGAGAGUUCCUCAGAUUUUGGUGGUGGCGCUGUGAGCACAAACAGGGAGCAAGAAAGAGGGCAGUGAUGGCCAAGGGGACUCUGGCGGAGCUCUGGCAUUCCCUUUUUAUAGCUGCGCGGAAGAGAGAGGGUUGGAGCGGCACGAAGACUGGAAAGAAGCGAUGGAGUGCGCUGCCACGGCGGUGAUUGAGCGGCCAGGGCGGUGGAGCAGGACUUCGGGGAUGAUGCCUUCAGCUAUUGGGCACUGGAGACAGGGCAGUGCAGGCGUGGACUUGCCAGUGGUUGAGUUUUGGCGGAGGCGGGCGUCGUCGUUCGGCGGAUCUGAUGGAAGUGACCGGGGGAACGGCGCUAGAAGCUAGGUUGCUCAGGUGAGAAGACAGGUGGGUUGCGGCUGCGCGGGCGAGCGCGAAGCAACAGACCGUCGGAGCGCAGCUUUGACAAGGCGGGAAAGGAGCUGUCGCGGCCAGGGUCGGGGUUGGCGGAGGAGGAAUCGUCGCGUAGCGCGGACCUGGGCGGCGCGACUGUGAAGGGGCGACGGAAAAAUCGGGAGACCUUGGGCCUUGCAGCCGGGGGGGGGGGGUCCGGCGAGGUGAUGAUGGGCGCGAGCGGCGAGGCACUGCAGAAAAAGUUGCAGAGGGCUUCCGCUGCGAUUGGGGAAAGGGGCGCGGGAAUCCAUCUGGUCGCGGCCGGCGACGGGGCGGAGCGGCGGGUGUCGGAGGAGUUGAGCCACGCGGCGGAAAAGCACUGAAGCGAGCAUGCCACUCGAGUGCGUCUGCACCAGGAGAUCUGGGAAAGAUGUUGUGGGCCCACCGGUCAGAUUGAAGGAAGGUGUUGGGGGAAGACUUAGAAGGAUCCGGCGGCGAGUUGGGGUCGGCGGGGUCGGAACUGGAGGCCAGCGGAAAGGGGUCGGGUCACAGGGGUCAGGACCGGACUGGAGGUUGAGUACUUAAACUCGGUAAAGCUGAGACGGGAUUUGGGACUUAGUUUAAGAUUAACUCGAGAGAUUCGGGGUCGGUCGUCACACCCCUGCCGGCGGCUCCUCCCCGACCGACCUCGCCCCCGGUUUCUUCCCUAGCCACCCCCGGCUUCUCCCCGACCACCGGCGAGCCCCACGCGCCACCUGAUCCUCCACAGCGCCGCCGGCAGCCAUCCUGCGUCGCUGGCCGCCACCUCCCUCCGCGCGCCGCCAUCCCACCCUCCUCUCUCCGCGCGCCGCCCCUGCCGGCCUCCACUCCCCCGCCAACGGCUCCUCCCUGCUUGACGACGCCGACACCUCCUUGCGCACCGGCGGCAAUCGAGGGAGGCGCGCUCGGCGAUCGAGGAAGGCGUGUGGGCAAGCGCAGACGGAGCUGAGGGAGGCGCGUGGGCGAGUGCCAAAUGGAGCGCACGGUAGCCGUCUGGGUCCGCGCGGUCCCUUCUUUUUGGAGGGAUCGCUCCGACCCAGAUCAAGGGAGAAUAUUCCCAUCUGGGUUGGACCCAACCCAGAUGGGAAUCCAACCAAACAGGGGUCGAAGUGGGUCGGUUCCAAACCGACCCACUUCGACCCCAGAACCAAACACUACCUUCGAGUUUGAUUGGUUCUCUGCCAAAAUUUAGAUUAGGUUCCAAUAUUUGCCCAACCAAAUUAUAGUCAUGCCUAGAAAGUUUGGUUAUCACUUAGUUCCUUACCAAGAAUUUGGUAUGCCAAUGUUUUUAACAAAAUCCAUGGCAAGUUACUAUAAACUUCUUAAAGGAAAAGGUAUAGGUUGCCAAAUUUUAUCACUAAACCAAGUGAUACCCAAAUUUCUUACUCUAUCUUUGGCAUGCCUCAAUUUUGGCAAGCCCUGAUUUUAGCAUGCCCUCAUUUUGGCUAGGCAAAAAUCGGAAGCAAACCAAGCAGGCUCUUAGGCACGCCAAAAAUUUUGGCAAGCUAAAAUUUGGGCAAAAAAUUUGCCAAUAUUUUGGUAAGAUACAUGUGAGAGGUUGCCAAAUUUUGAUAACAAACCAAGCAGUGGCCAAAAAUUUGGCUUGCCAAAACCCCGGCAUGCCAGAAUUUUGGCAGCCAACCAAUCAGGCCCUUAAUGACAUGAUAAUCACUGAAUUUUCAUCAAUUGUACCGCAUGGUGGAACAUCGCUUUCGCCUUUCAUGGUACUCCAAAUAUAAUGCCACGAAAGUCAGCAAAUAUGACACUACUGAUGCAGAGUGGAGCCUAAAAAUCUUUAAAUCCAUGGUCCCGGAUGAAAGCAGACAAAAUGAAUGUCUCAAUAGUCCUUCGCUAGAGUUUGCUAAGUCUAAAGAAAAGUUAAAGUGCCACUUUUUGCAAUUGGAAGUAAAGAAAGAUAGUAUUAUCAAUGAUGGUCAUUUGCACCGCUAACUACAAGAACUUACUACUAGAUUUACUAUCAGAAUCACAUGUGUAUAUUAUUACUUUAACUUGAAUAUUAGUAGUAAAAUGUGGGGAUGGAAUAUCACAUUCACAUAGAAAAAACAUGAAGGUAAAUAUGAUUAUCAAACACUGUAUUGAAUUCACAUACUAUCUAACUCAUAAUUUGCUACAUCGGUGUUCAAGAAUCAAGAUAUCUGCUACAACUUUGUAUGCCUUGUUCUUUUUUUAUGUUUUCAAAGAUAAACAUAUCUCUUGUUUAUCCUCUUAUUUUAAGGUAUACUAUUUUCACAUCUAUAGCUCUAGCAUAAGGUAUACUGUUUGUCUUGUUUUGUUUUUUUGUGAUUUGGGGAAUUUGGAGAUGCAAGUCAGUAAACAUGCCUAUUGUGUCCUUUUAAAGGAGAAAACCUCAGGUUGAUAUAUAUGAAACUGGUGCACUAGUCAGCAAACAAGCAUGUUGUGUCUUUUAAUAAUUAUAUUUAACAAGCCUUUCAACAUUCCAGACAACAUGUUGAUCUAUAAAACUGUUGAAGUAGUAUAUUUAAAAUGUUGGAGUUAUAUAUUCGACAUUUCUUGAAAACUACUUUAACAUUUUGUACAGAUAAGCUCUCAUUUGUAUAUAUAAUUGAAUCAAACAUGAUCUAGGGAUUAUCUUCGUGCUCAAGUGGUACAUCUUUAAACAUGAUACAACCUUGCAUAGUCUAAAAGUUUGAGAUGACGAAUAUAUGUUAUAUGUUACAACAGCAAAGAAUAUGGUAAUUGAUGUGCAUUACAAAGUGGUGCAGUCUAAAAGGUUACUGAUCACAUUUUCCUAUGUCCACCAAUCAACACCAGCACUAACACAUCCAGUUGUAGGAUCCCUGCCGAAAAAUUCAGAGUCUUCCACUGUAUUGUGUAUACACCCUCUUCAAUAUAUCCCAUAUAUUCUUCAUUUGCAUCUGUGCAUAGUGUCUCAGUCUUUGGUGCUUUCAUGAAACUUCAUAAUUAGAUUUGCAUAUCCUAAAGUGUCCGCACAAUGUUGCAGCCUAUUUUUGGUAUUCACAUGUUCCACUUAUUCUGGUUGAAAACAGAAAAAAGACUUGGAAUAUGUUGAAAAAAGGAAAGGGAAACAAAGUAAUGCAAUCAACAUUUGAGCCUUUAGGCUGAUCUUCUUCACUGUUUUUAUUUAGGCCUCUGCUGCUGUCAUUUGCUUCUCGGGUCGCACUGGGUCUGCAAUUCCCACCAUUCCCAUCGCACGGAAGAUAUAUAUAGAGAGAUAGGGACGCUCCUUCUCCCACUUUCUUCUCCGCUUUCUUCGGCUUCUUUUCCUAUAAAAGUCAAGCCUUCUUUUCCUAUAAAAGUUAAAAUGAAUAAUAAUUUGAUUUGGGAGGAGCCCGCAGGAAAAAAACAAACGGGAGACCUACGCAUAGACCGCGUGCACCUAGCGUCCGCUCCGUCAGCGUGCUGACAGCUGCAGCCGGCCAGACCAGCUACGCCGCACCGCACGAAUCUCCAAGCAGAUCACGCGCCGUUAAGAAUCCGCUGGACGAAUAAAAAAUUCCCUACCCCAUUAGACCACCACCCUUGGCUUGGAUUUGCUUUGCUUUCUCCCCUCGCACCGGGGAACGCGGCCGCCGAUCCGCUCCCGAUCCCCUCCCCCUUCCCGCCGCCCGAUCCCACCAAAUCCGCUCCCGCGCUGUCCCCGAUUCGAUUACCUAGCUCGAUUGGCCCCUCCCGAUCAGCCGCGGCACAGGCUGUUUCUGGUUUGAUUGGAUCCCCGUGCGGAGCUGUGGAUCCCCAACUGAGCUGCCGCGUGCGGGCGGGAGGAUUGCGCUAGGGUUUCGGCGGGCGCGGGCGCGGGCGCG